Molecule: unclassified non-coding RNA, 343 nt
Filed under: soil metagenome
Description: partial contains 5.8S ribosomal RNA, internal transcribed spacer 2, and large subunit ribosomal RNA
Rfam family: 5.8S ribosomal RNA (bases 1-120)
Source: RNAcentral
GAUGAAGAACGUAGCGAAAUGCGAUAAGUAAUGUGAAUUGCAGAAUUCAGUGAAUCAUCGAAUCUUUGAACGCACAUUGCGCCCGCCAGCAUUCUGGCGGGCAUGCCUGUUCGAGCGUCAUUUCAACCCUCGAGCCCCCCCGGGGGCCUCGGUGUUGGGGGACGGCACACCAGCCGCCCCCGAAAUGCAGUGGCGACCCCGCCGCAGCCUCCCCUGCGUAGUAGCACACACCUCGCACCGGAGCGCGGAGGCGGUCACGCCGUAAAACGCCCAACUUUCUUAGAGUUGACCUCGGAUCAGGUAGGAAUACCCGCUGAACUUAAGCAUAUCAGUAAGCGGAGGA